Gossypium arboreum is the source of this 727-nucleotide long non-coding RNA. RefSeq lists it as uncharacterized. NCBI's taxonomy places the organism in Eukaryota, Viridiplantae, Streptophyta, Magnoliopsida, Malvales, Malvaceae. The record is from RefSeq and is a predicted model, not a curated record. The transcript is spliced from 3 exons.
ACGUCGCUUUAGUUUUUCCUAUUCUGUUCACAUUUUUUUUUAUUUUUUUCUUUGUUUUCACGUGGGUUUGGAAAAGGGGGGUAACAAAUCGUUCUUUUGGUUUCUUGAUUUUUAAUGCCAAAGCCUCAUUAUUUUACUAUUCAAAGAUCGGUAGUGGCGUUAAUCGAGUAUGUUCCAACGUGACUCGAGUGUGAGGAACGUGAGAAUCAGAAAUCCCCUCUUGCGAUUUAGUUGUUUUAGGGGCUGCUGUUAACGUGGGUACUAUUUUCUUCAUGAGUGUGGUGGUCUCGAAAUCGAAUUAGGUGUGUAUCGAAAAACAUGAAAAAUAACGAUCGACGAAAGACAAAAAAGUUUACUGUCGAUGCCACAUGGCAGUGUGCCAGACCGUGUUGUAGGCCGUGUGACAGACCGUUUGCAGGACCGUGUGUGACACAUGAGCUAGGCUAUUUGGGCCGUGUGGGCCCAAAAUUCUAAAAUAUUCUCUAAGGCCGGACACGAGUUCUCGAUUAGAUGUGGGUCUUCCGUAGGCUCGGUAUGUGAGUAAAUGUACAGUAAAACAUGAAAUCUAAACAUUUGUUAGUAGAGUUUCUGCUAUCUGUAAGAGUAAUUAAGAUACCGAUUGAUAAAUAAACCCGAAAAUUUAUGUUAAGUAUAUGAUUUGUAUCUGAUUUGUUGUGCAUGUAAAACUAUAGCAUGUAUAAUUCCUAUUUUGAAUAUGUUUGAUAUU